This 501-nucleotide ribosomal RNA is filed under the name Vibrio azureus. RNAcentral describes it as "bacterial SSU rRNA". It matches the Rfam family "Bacterial small subunit ribosomal RNA", at positions 123 to 619 of the family's 1533-position model. The record is from RNAcentral. Lineage: Bacteria; Pseudomonadati; Pseudomonadota; Gammaproteobacteria; Vibrionales; Vibrionaceae.
AAAUUGCCCUGAUGUGGGGGAUAACCAUUGGAAACGAUGGCUAAUACCGCAUGAUGCCUACGGGCCAAAGAGGGGGACCUUCGGGCCUCUCGCGUCAGGAUAUGCCUAGGUGGGAUUAGCUAGUUGGUGAGGUAAGGGCUCACCAAGGCGACGAUCCCUAGCUGGUCUGAGAGGAUGAUCAGCCACACUGGAACUGAGACACGGUCCAGACUCCUACGGGAGGCAGCAGUGGGGAAUAUUGCACAAUGGGCGCAAGCCUGAUGCAGCCAUGCCGCGUGUAUGAAGAAGGCCUUCGGGUUGUAAAGUACUUUCAGUCGUGAGGAAGGCGGUGUCGUUAAUAGCGGCAUCGUUUGACGUUAGCGACAGAAGAAGCACCGGCUAACUCCGUGCCAGCAGCCGCGGUAAUACGGAGGGUGCGAGCGUUAAUCGGAAUUACUGGGCGUAAAGCGCAUGCAGGUGGUUUGUUAAGUCAGAUGUGAAAGCCCGGGGCUCAACCUCGGA